AUGCUCUCGUCCCUUGGACUUGAUCCUCAGUCCAAACCCUUGGUUAGUGCUUUUAAGACCUAUUAUACUAGGCUUUAAGAACUCUUGGAUCAAAUCCGAUCCCAAACCCACAUAAAAAUCUUAUGCAGCUCUAUCUGCGCAACUGAGCCAGCUCAGUCUCAGAUUGAAUCGACUAAUAUGGGACUGAGUCGACUCAUACUAAGAUUGAGUCAACUCACCUGCGUGCCGUGCUAGAUUUUUUAAAAUUCUAUCUUCUAUUUCUCUUAGAUAUAGUCAACCCAACUGGCACUGAGUCAACCCACCUGUGAUUUGGUCAACCCAGUCUCAGUCCAAGUCGAUCUAAAUUCUUGAAUCUACUAUUUCUCCACAGUCUUCAACCCU
RNAcentral lists this long non-coding RNA (381 nucleotides) under Elaeis guineensis (African oil palm). RNAcentral's name for it is "long non-coding RNA (EGUI_LNC058127)". Lineage: Eukaryota; Viridiplantae; Streptophyta; Magnoliopsida; Arecales; Arecaceae. The record is from RNAcentral.